Long non-coding RNA from Coturnix japonica (Japanese quail), 1979 nucleotides. RefSeq lists it as uncharacterized. The record is from RefSeq and is a predicted model, not a curated record. Lineage: Eukaryota; Metazoa; Chordata; Aves; Galliformes; Phasianidae.
CCAAAAUGUAUACCACUAGAAACCAGAACCAUGGCUUUUCUGAACUUUGAGGAAAUUAAAGAACUCCACUCUAAGCAGCCUCCCUGUCAAGUCCAAUUCUCAGCGUUUAAAUGGCAUCUCUCCCUUCUCCAUCACAGGGAAUGAUAUCCUGCCUGUAAUUAGUGACCAGCUUGUAGCAGUAAAAGCCAGAUUUGAGUCAUUUUCUUCUAAGGAUUUAAUAUCUGUACCAAUAAUGCACUCAUGCUUAUCACGUUUGUCAAUACAUGGUGCUAAGAUGAAAUCAGCCAGAAAAUAGCUGCUAAAGUGAACUGUCUUGUCAUUUACCAUUCCUGGCCCUGGUGCAUUUUCAGAGUGCUUGGAUGCAGUGGUGGCAGAAGUAAAGCUGAACUCUGUCCUUCCUUGGGGACGCAUCAUUUCUUCAGGGUAAGCUGUGUUGAUGCGUCUUGCAAAGAGGUGCUUAAGAUCGAUGUUAGUUGCCUGGCUGAGCACAGCCUAAAGCCAGAACAUGCACAGCUUUAUUAAAUGUUCUUUGCACAAGGGAAAACUGCAGGAGAUCUCACUGCUGUUUGUUCAGGCACACUGAGCCCCGGAUUGGGACAGGGAGGGGAAGAAAGCUGCAGCUGCAGUGCGCGGGGGGGGGAUGGAAAGAGAUUAAACAACAACGUCAACAACAACAACAACAAAAAGUGUGUGUGUGUGAGAGAGAGCGAGAGAGAGGGAAGAGAGAAUAAUAAGAGGAAUUAAGCAACGAAGAGUCGCUCCGUUGCGAAGAGGAGCCGCGGCCGCGGGUGGGCGGCGCAGGUCCAGCACCACGGACAGCAGCGCCCCGACGGAGCGUCCCGGCUCGGCCGCCGUGGGCAGCGUUCGGAUCCUGAUGCAGCGUGACGCCCAACGGGGACCCUGACCCUCAUCUCGCCCUUCCUCCCCUCAGAGCUACUCCGGUUAAGAUUGGCCUGACCUCAGUGCUGCCGUUCUGCAUUCAGCAUGCAGUGCCAGGAGAGUGCUGCAGCCAAAACCCAGUAUGAACUGUUCCUUGGAACUGCACAUGGGGUGUUCCUGGCACUGUGUUGCCAUCACUCUGGGAUUCAUCUCUUGGUCGGUCUCUCUGCUGAGCCUCAGUGGUCUGCAGGAGAAUAACCCACCCCAGCGCUGCAGCUGAUAAAUGUCUCCAUGCCAUCCUCUCUAUUUGGAGCAGCUGUUUUUCUUCCUUCAGUCUACAGGUCCUGCAAUUUUUUGUCCCUCUGCUUACAGCUCUAUGGCCAAACUUUGGCAAUGCUCCAGCAAGAAAGAUGCCAACUGACAAAAGCUUUGCUCCUGUGAUUGACAGAGAAAGGCUUCUGAUGGCCCAGCAAAGUUUAUCUGCUGCUCUCAUACAGGCAUUUAAAUUUAAGAAAUGAAAAUCUACAUCAGCCUCACUGUGUACGCCUACCUUGUCCUUUUUCUUCCUGGUCAUCUGCUUGACAUAAACAUGCCGUGCAGGAAACUGAAGCUGUGAAAAGCUCUUGCUCUCUCUGAUGAAAGAACCAGCUUUUCAGACAGCUGCUGCAGUCCCUCUUUGAAGAAACUGUUGAUGGUACCAGUUUUUUACAGGUCCCCUUGAGUGGUAAGCUGUGAUUUAUGCAAAAGCACUGCGCUGAUUGCCAGCAUAAAACAAGCAACGGAGGACAAAUGGCAACGCAUAUGGUCAGACUUCUUCCAGCUAACUGCAAGAGCUGCACUUCAGGGAACAGAGGGGUCAGACAAGCAGACGCCCUGCAACAUCACUGUCAGCCUACUUUAUGUGUGUCCUCCAGAAGCGGCCCCAGCCACCCUCUGGAGAUGGCAUCUCCUGCCAUCUCUGGCCUCUGGUACUGCAUUUCAAGCUGACUUGAGGAGUCUGGCAAUGCUAUUAUAGUGCUGUCUAUGUCUUAGUGCCUGAAAAGAAAAAGGCCCCCUGCUUUAACACCUCCUGUUAUCUCAGUAAAGUGAUGUUUAAAUAA